UAAUCAGAGCUGAAGGACACAACUU
Molecule: non-coding RNA, 25 nt
Filed under: Mus musculus (house mouse)
Lineage: Eukaryota; Metazoa; Chordata; Mammalia; Rodentia; Muridae
Source: RNAcentral